UGGGGAAUAUUGCACAAUGGGGGGAAACCCUGAUGCAGCGACGCCGCGUGGGCGAGGAAGUACCUCGGUAUGUAAAGCCCUAUCAGCAGGGAAGAAACAAGACAGUACCUGACUAAGAAGCCCCGGCUAACUACGUGCC
RNAcentral lists this ribosomal RNA (139 nucleotides) under uncultured bacterium. RNAcentral describes it as "partial 16S ribosomal RNA". It matches the Rfam family "Bacterial small subunit ribosomal RNA", at positions 355 to 509 of the family's 1533-position model. The record is from RNAcentral.